Molecule: long non-coding RNA, 247 nt
Filed under: Lathyrus oleraceus (garden pea)
Lineage: Eukaryota; Viridiplantae; Streptophyta; Magnoliopsida; Fabales; Fabaceae
Description: Pisum sativum (pea) long non-coding RNA (PSAT_LNC022316)
Source: RNAcentral
AUGAGUUGAAGGUUGAUAAGUUGGCAUUGAUUAGGGAGACUUAAUCUUCCUUGAUUCAAAUCUAAUUCAUCUUGAUCAAUUGAUCAAGUGAAUGGUUUUGCAUUAAGGAUGGGUUGUUUUCUAAAUCAUGCAAAAGGCUUAAACCAAUACAAGAUCAAUUCUCAUUUUCUUUUUGGCAUGGCAAGUUGUUGGAACUUGGUUCACUAAUCAAGACUUGUAACUUGUGUUGUUGCCUACAUUAUUAUUG